Molecule: long non-coding RNA, 771 nt
Organism: Patella vulgata (common limpet)
Lineage: Eukaryota; Metazoa; Mollusca; Gastropoda; Patellidae
Exons: 4
Source: RefSeq, a predicted model, not a curated record
AAACCCGGACCGUUGCAACAGUUUCAAAUAUCCAACAUCCAAAAAUCUUCAAAAUGAUUCUAUUUGUACUUGUGGUGUUUUUGGCUGGAUGUGAAUCCUAUCCGAAUGGUGCUCCAACUGGAAUUUGUAGUGUACAGAAACAGAGACCAUAUCAUGGACGAUUUUUUCCACAAACGUCGCCACCGCCAUAUCGAAUAUACACGAAUUCUUCUUCGUACAGACCAAAUGACCCCAUUAACAUUACUAUUUCCGGGGAUGGAGCCAGUUUUAAGGGAUUUUUCUUCACGGCUGAUACAACAUCAGCGUCUUUUAAUGGUCGUGUAGAUAAUGUGACAAGUAAUGUCCGAACAGCGGGUAACUGUGGAAUGACGCAUACUGAUAAUUCACCAAAAACAUCCAUUACAUUUCUGUGGACUCCACCAGAACUUGUCCAUAUUGGAAACGUUCAGUUUAUAUCACUGGUUUUGACUAAUUUCUCAACAUUCUGGAAUAAUAUCCGAUCUGAAGUUUUGGAGCCGGAUUUUACCGUAUACGAAACGCACAAAUCCGUAUGGACAAAGAUGUACGCUGAAGCCCAGAACGGUCAGCAGCAAGGUGGUACACUAAGUGGUCAAACCCAGAACGUUCAGCAGCAAGGUGGUAGACAAAGAGGUCAACGCCAAACCAACACAAUGCUUAACGUCAAUGGAAUGCAAUCUCAGUUUCGCUCAAUUAAUGGUUAAUGAAUUUAGCAAAUCGACAAAAUGUGCUCAAUUUUUUAUUGUAUCAAUA